UACGGGGGGGGCAAGCGUUGUUCGGAAUUACUGGGCGUAAAGGGCUCGUAGGCGGCCAACUAAGUCAGACGUGAAAUCCCCAGGCUUAACCUGGGAACUGCGUCUGAUACUGGAUGGCUUGAAUUCGGGGGAGGGAUGCAGAAUUCCAGGUGUAGCGGUGAAAUGCGUAGAUAUCUGGAGGAAUACCGGUGGCGAAGGCGGCAUCCUGGACCGACAUUGACGCUGAGGAGCGAAAGCUAGGGGAGCAAACGGG
RNAcentral lists this ribosomal RNA (253 nucleotides) under uncultured bacterium. RNAcentral's name for it is "partial 16S ribosomal RNA". It matches the Rfam family "Bacterial small subunit ribosomal RNA", at positions 524 to 776 of the family's 1533-position model. The record is from RNAcentral.